Molecule: long non-coding RNA, 1642 nt
Organism: Cottoperca gobio
Lineage: Eukaryota; Metazoa; Chordata; Actinopteri; Perciformes; Bovichtidae
Exons: 3
Source: RefSeq, a predicted model, not a curated record
AUUGUCAUUGUUAUAUUAUAUUAUGUCAUAUUAGCAUGCUGACGUUAGAAUUUAGUUCAAAGCACUGUUGUGCCUAAGACCUAGCAUGGCUCUAGCAGGGCUUGUCUAAACAGUGAAAGUCAACACAGUAAAAAUGUAACAACACUCAAAAAGUUAAGUGGGUUAAACUGACAUAGAUAUCAUGCUUGGACACUAGCUCCUCUGUUUUAUAGGUUGUUCUGUUAAGCUGGUGAGGGGGAGACGGCAUGAGGGGGCUUUUUCAAUGUAAACUCAAGAAGCCGGUGUUUAUUUCUUCACUGUGAAGUGGUCCAAGGCACAUCUUUAAUGUCAGUAUUCUAUCCCAGUGAUGUCCCUGUAUCCCUGUUAACUGGUCUUCGGCAGCUGGUCGGACAUGUCAUCCACCCCGGUCAUUUGAGAACUGACAUCCAAAACUUCAGGCGAGGGUCAGGAGGAUAGAAACACACCGAUGCCAUCUACCUCCCGCUUGGUGAAAUAAAUCCUAUUUGAAACCAUCCCUAAGGAGCCCUUCACAAUAAAAUACAGGUUAGAUGUCCCUCAGGUUAACUGAUCGGUAUUGCCUGCUCGAGAAGAUGCACCAUUCCACUGCCACUUUUUUCAAAUCUAACUCAAUGCCUUUUAAAAUUCAAAUAAAUAGCUUCUACUUAUGCAGAGGAACUAUACAUAAACGUAAACAUCAUAUAUCAUGUCCCUAUUUCUUUGAUAGUUGCUGUUUCCCAUAGCAACAAAAACUAGAUCCGAUGACUACCUUACAAAGAGAGACAGAAUAUGAUGGACGGACUGGAUAUGAUAUGAAUGGAAACGUCCUCCAGCCACAAAAUAAAUAUUUAUUGCUGCAAGCCACACUUUGCUGCUCCAAGGUGUGAAAUUCAGUGUAAUACUCCUUACCAUUAACUGUCUGAAGCGGCUAAUAAUUUCACUGUUCAAUGCAUCUUUAUGAAUGGAUAGUUCUUGCAAAUCCAUAUUACCUCUCCGUCGGCCUCCCGAACGACUCUGCUCGCCUCCAGCCCGGCCUCUCCGCCAGCCUCCCGAGUGGCCAGUGGCGGUUUUAGACCAAUAUCACUAGGGGGGCCUGGCCAGGACCAAGUGUUUUGUCAGAGGGGCACAUUCAACCCAAGCUACAUUCAACCCGGGACAAAAGAGACGAAGCAGUGUUCAAGCAUUAAAUAUUUUUAGUUACAGGAAGUAUAAAUAAUAGCGCACAACAAAAACAAUACCAUGAUUGGUAGGUUACAGUAACAGUAUUCCAGUUACAGACAUUUCUUUCAGUAUGCUACAUUUAUAAUUUUCUUAUAUUACAAUACUGAAAAUGAAAAUAAUAUAAAAAAUAUUGUUGACUUUAGCUCAACUUUAUAAAUAUUAUUUCAUCUGCCAUGAUGCUGAAGACUUCACUGUUUUUCACUUCUUCUGUAAUUUCAGUUCGAACCAUGUCUGCCAAACAAUCCAGAACUUCAUUCUGAAUGAUUUUGCUUGUGUACUUUGCAUUAUGACAGGAGGUCAACCUUUCUUUAACAGCUUUGUCGUGGUCAGCAAUUGUCUCUAAAAUUGCCUUGAACUUCCCUUUAUUAUCCGAGUCUGCAGACUCAUUGUGACCUCUUUGAGCCAUGUUUUGUGUGGCAGUUAG